This 271-nucleotide ribosomal RNA is filed under the name Acinetobacter baumannii. RNAcentral describes it as "partial 23S ribosomal RNA". It matches the Rfam family "Bacterial large subunit ribosomal RNA", at positions 1596 to 1850 of the family's 2925-position model. The record is from RNAcentral. Lineage: Bacteria; Pseudomonadati; Pseudomonadota; Gammaproteobacteria; Moraxellales; Moraxellaceae.
GAUGCCAUGCUUCCAGGAAAAGUCUCUAAGCUUCAGUUACACAGGAAUCGUACCCGAAACCGACACAGGGGGUCAGGUCGAGUAGACCAAGGCGCUUGAGAGAACUCUGCUGAAGGAACUAGGCAAAAUGGUACCGUAACUUCGGGAGAAGGUACGCUGUUGUUGGUGAUGGAACUCGCUUCCUGAGCUGACGACAGCCGCAGAAACCAGGCCGCUGCAACUGUUUAUUAAAAACAUAGCACUCUGCAAACACGAAAGUGGACGUAUAGGG